This 94-nucleotide microRNA precursor is filed under the name Canis lupus familiaris (dog). RNAcentral describes it as "mir-8799 microRNA precursor family". It matches the Rfam family "mir-8799 microRNA precursor family". The record is from Rfam by way of RNAcentral. RNAcentral also lists the same sequence under 1 other name. Lineage: Eukaryota; Metazoa; Chordata; Mammalia; Carnivora; Canidae.
GGGGGAGCCCCAGAUCCUGGGCUGUGUCCCACAGUGCCCUGGGCUCCUGGGCCCGAGCCACUGGAAUUGUGCUCCGGGGACCGCGCAGCCCCCU